UACGAAGGGGGCUAGCGUUGCUCGGAAUCACUGGGCGUAAAGCGCACGUAGGCGGCUUUCUAAGUCAGGGGUGAAAUCCUGGAGCUCAACUCCAGAACUGCCUUUGAUACUGGAGAGCUAGAGUCCGGAAGAGGUGAGUGGAACUGCGAGUGUAGAGGUGAAAAUUCGUAGAUAUUCGCAAGAACACCGGUGGCGAAGGCGGCCAACUGGUCCGAUACUGACGCUGAGGCGCGAAAGCGUGGGGAGCAAACAG
Molecule: ribosomal RNA, 253 nt
Filed under: uncultured bacterium
Lineage: Bacteria
Description: partial 16S ribosomal RNA
Rfam family: Bacterial small subunit ribosomal RNA
Source: RNAcentral